Ribosomal RNA from Vulpes vulpes (red fox), 119 nucleotides. Lineage: Eukaryota; Metazoa; Chordata; Mammalia; Carnivora; Canidae. The record is from Ensembl.
GUCUACGGCCAUACCACCCUGAACGCGCCCGAUCUCGUCUGAUCUCGGAAGCUAAGCAGGGUCGGGCCUGGUUAGUACUUGGAUGGGAGACAUAUGUACGUACAGGUGCUUAGCAGCCU